This is a ribosomal RNA of 599 nucleotides. It matches the Rfam family "Bacterial small subunit ribosomal RNA", at positions 82 to 695 of the family's 1533-position model.
GCUGGGUGGAUUAGUGGCGAACGGGUGAGUAACACGUGAGUAACCUGCCCUUAACUCUGGGAUAAGCCUGGGAAACUGGGUCUAAUACCGGAUAGGAGCGCCUACCGCAUGGUGGGUGUUGGAAAGAUUUAUCGGUUUUGGAUGGACUCGCGGCCUAUCAGCUUGUUGGUGAGGUAAUGGCUCACCAAGGCGACGACGGGUAGCCGGCCUGAGAGGGUGACCGGCCACACUGGGACUGAGACACGGCCCAGACUCCUACGGGAGGCAGCAGUGGGGAAUAUUGCACAAUGGGCGCAAGCCUGAUGCAGCGACGCCGCGUGAGGGAUGACGGCCUUCGGGUUGUAAACCUCUUUCAGUAGGGAAGAAGCGAAAGUGACGGUACCUGCAGAAGAAGCACCGGCUAACUACGUGCCAGCAGCCGCGGUAAUACGUAGGGUGCGAGCGUUAUCCGGAAUUAUUGGGCGUAAAGAGCUCGUAGGCGGUUUGUCGCGUCUGUCGUGAAAGUCCGGGGCUUAACCCCGGAUCUGCGGUGGGUACGGGCAGACUAGAGUGCAGUAGGGGAGACUGGAAUUCCUGGUGUAGCGGUGGAAUGCGCAGAU